UAAGGAAUAUUGAACAAUGGUCGCAAGACUGAUCCAGCCAUGCCGCGUGCAGGAAGACGGCCCUAUGGGUUGUAAACUGCUUUUGUACCAGAGAAAACCUAUCUACGUGUAGAUAGCUGAUAGUAUGGUAAGAAUAAGCAUCGGCUAACUUCGUGCCAGCAGCCGCGGUAAGACGAAGGAUGCAAGCGUUAUCCGGCUUCAUUGGGUUUAAAGGGUGCGUAGGCGGGCUUGUAAGUCAGUGGUGAAAUCUCUCAGCUUAACUGAGAAACUGCCAUUGAUACUGCAGGCCUAGAGUAUAGAUGACGUUGGCGGAAUAUGACAUGUAGUGGUGAAAUACUUGGAUAUGUCAUAGAACACCGAUUGCGAAGGCAGCUAACGAAACUAUAACUGACGCUGAGGCACGA
Molecule: ribosomal RNA, 404 nt
Filed under: uncultured bacterium
Lineage: Bacteria
Description: bacterial SSU rRNA
Rfam family: Bacterial small subunit ribosomal RNA
Source: RNAcentral